Callithrix jacchus (white-tufted-ear marmoset) is the source of this 302-nucleotide unclassified non-coding RNA. It matches the Rfam family "Metazoan signal recognition particle RNA". Rfam says of the family: The signal recognition particle (SRP) is a universally conserved ribonucleoprotein. It is involved in the co-translational targeting of proteins to membranes. NCBI's taxonomy places the organism in Eukaryota, Metazoa, Chordata, Mammalia, Primates, Cebidae. The record is from Ensembl.
GCCAGGUUUGGUGGCUCGUGCCUGUAGUCCCAGCUAAUUGGAAGGCUGAGGUGGGAGGAUAGCUUAAACCCAGGAGUUCUGGGCUGUAGUGCACUCUGCCGAUCAAAUGCCCACACUAAGUUCGGCAUCAAUACGGUGACCUCCUGGGAGCGGGGUGAACCACCAGGUUGCCUAAGCAGGGGUGAUCCGGCCCAGGUUGGAAAUGGAGCAGGUCAAAACUCCCAUGCUGAUCAGUAGUAGGAUCAGGCCUGUGAAUAGCCACUACAUUACAGCCUGGGCAACAUAUUGAGACACCGUCACUA